CAGCAGCCACGGGAAUACGUAGGGUGCAAGCGUUAAUCGGAAUUACUGGGCGUAAAGCGUGCGCAGGCGGUUAUAUAAGUCAGAUGUGAAAUCCCCGGGCUCAACCUGGGAACUGCAUUUGAGACUGUAUGGCUAGAGUGUGUCAGAGGGGGGUAGAAUUCCACGCGUAGCAGUGAAAUGCGUAGAUAUGUGGAGGAAUACCGAUGGCGAAGGCAGCCUCCUGGGAUAACACUGACGCUCAUGCACGAAAGCGUGGGGAGCAAACAGGAUUAGAUACCCGAGUAGUCCCUGUCUCUUAUAC
RNAcentral lists this ribosomal RNA (301 nucleotides) under uncultured bacterium. RNAcentral's name for it is "partial 16S ribosomal RNA". It matches the Rfam family "Bacterial small subunit ribosomal RNA", at positions 509 to 807 of the family's 1533-position model. The record is from RNAcentral.